This is a long non-coding RNA of Limulus polyphemus (Atlantic horseshoe crab), 356 nucleotides long. RefSeq lists it as uncharacterized. The record is from RefSeq and is a predicted model, not a curated record. The transcript has 5 exons. Lineage: Eukaryota; Metazoa; Arthropoda; Merostomata; Xiphosura; Limulidae.
UCUUAGCUGUCUUCGUAUACGUUUCUCACUUAGGCUUCAUCAUACAGGGUGUUGUUAACAGCCACGAGUCAAAAAAGAUUGUGUGCCUUUAUUCGAUCUUUUUAUUUUAUCAUAUUUUCAGCUCGACAGAUCCUCGAAGGACAACAGGCAGUUGUCGAAACACAGCGAACUUCAAGCUGUCAAAGUUUGACGUGUGACAUCGAAUCCUCACUAUGAUGAAAGUAACAUUAGUCGUACUGUUGCUCAUGUCAACCUACGUCUGCAGAACAGCACAGGACGGAAUUUGGACUCAACUCAUUUUCACAUUAGUGAAGAAUUUAGCCACUCUUUGACAAAGUGGUGAUAUUCAGUUUCUA